GACGGUUUAGCUCAGUGGUAGAGCGUCAGUAUCGUAAACUGAAGGUAGGCGGUUUAAUCCCGCCAUCCGGUU
RNAcentral lists this transfer RNA (72 nucleotides) under Perkinsus olseni. RNAcentral describes it as "tRNA-Thr". It matches the Rfam family "tRNA". From Rfam's summary of the family: Transfer RNA (tRNA) molecules are approximately 80 nucleotides in length. Their secondary structure includes four short double-helical elements and three loops (D, anti-codon, and T loops). The record is from RNAcentral. Lineage: Eukaryota; Perkinsozoa; Perkinsida; Perkinsidae.